This 802-nucleotide ribosomal RNA is filed under the name Enterobacter kobei. Its description in RNAcentral is "partial 23S ribosomal RNA". It matches the Rfam family "Bacterial large subunit ribosomal RNA", at positions 387 to 1191 of the family's 2925-position model. Lineage: Bacteria; Pseudomonadati; Pseudomonadota; Gammaproteobacteria; Enterobacterales; Enterobacteriaceae. The record is from RNAcentral.
AAUGCACAGGUUGUGAACUCGAAGAGUAGGGCGGGACACGUGGUAUCCUGUCUGAAUAUGGGGGGACCAUCCUCCAAGGCUAAAUACUCCUGACUGACCGAUAGUGAACCAGUACCGUGAGGGAAAGGCGAAAAGAACCCCGGCGAGGGGAGUGAAAAAGAACCUGAAACCGUGUACGUACAAGCAGUGGGAGCCUACUUGUUAGGUGACUGCGUACCUUUUGUAUAAUGGGUCAGCGACUUAUAUUCUGUAGCAAGGUUAACCGUAUAGGGGAGCCGAAGGGAAACCGAGUCUUAACUGGGCGUUAAGUUGCAGGGUAUAGACCCGAAACCCGGUGAUCUAGCCAUGGGCAGGUUGAAGGUUGGGUAACACUAACUGGAGGACCGAACCGACUAAUGUUGAAAAAUUAGCGGAUGACCUGUGGCUGGGGGUGAAAGGCCAAUCAAACCGGGAGAUAGCUGGUUCUCCCCGAAAGCUAUUUAGGUAGCGCCUCGUGAACUCAUCUUCGGGGGUAGAGCACUGUUUCGGCUAGGGGGCCAUCCCGGCUUACCAACCCGAUGCAAACUACGAAUACCGAAGAAUGUUAUCACGGGAGACACACGGCGGGUGCUAACGUCCGUCGUGAAGAGGGAAACAACCCAGACCGCCAGCUAAGGUCCCAAAGUCAUGGUUAAGUGGGAAACGAUGUGGGAAGGCACAGACAGCCAGGAUGUUGGCUUAGAAGCAGCCAUCAUUUAAAGAAAGCGUAAUAGCUCACUGGUCGAGUCGGCCUGCGCGGAAGAUGUAACGGGGCUAAACCAUG